Molecule: long non-coding RNA, 1405 nt
Filed under: Canis lupus familiaris (dog)
Lineage: Eukaryota; Metazoa; Chordata; Mammalia; Carnivora; Canidae
Description: lncRNA (ENSCAFG00845013546.1)
Source: RNAcentral
GCAAAGAGCAGGAGCAGGAGGGACAUAGGAUUGCUCAUGGGACCCAUGAAUCUGGAAAGUAAAUUUGGAAAAAAGAAAAGAGUCACUGAUCUGCAGCCUUGGGCUCUGGGACAGGAAGUGGAGGUGCCAUUAAUGAAAGCUGACCCAGUGGUUCCCAAACCCUGCUGUGAAUGAGAACACCCCAGGAUCCUUAAAAUAUACUGGGGCCUGUACCCCAUCCCCAGACAUCUUGAUCUCAUUGGUGUGGGGGCAGCGUGGGCAUGGUGAGCUGUAGAGGAGUAGCAGGGUCUGUGGCAGGGACAGGGUGUGCAAGGAGAAGCAGGCAGCUCUGAGGGUCUGCUCAGAGUGGCAAUGACCUGGCCCCAGUGGCACUGGAGAAAGGUUAGCUGGAGAACUGUGGAAGGGAAAGGCGGGAGGGCAAGAAUGAAAGAGAAGAGAAGCCAAACCCCCAGGGGGUGCAGUGAGUGUGAGUCCAAUGUCUGUCACUAACUUCCUCUGUGACCAGGAUGAAUUGCUUCCCCUCUCUGGCCUCAGUUCCUCCACCUGGAAGAGAAGGGGAUUGAACUUCACGUUGACUGAUGAUUCUUCUGGCUCCAGGGUUGGAGGAUGCGCCCCAGCAGCCCCACCUCGUCCCAGCAGGCUGCACCUCCUGGGAGCAACAGGUACAAAGCCGGGCUUCAGCUGGCGUGUUGAGGAUGGCACAGGGAAGAGUAGAAGUCCCAAGAUCAGAGUUUCCUGUGGCGGCCUUCCCAUGGUGAGGACUUUGGAUUUUAUGCUUAGUGCUAUGGGGAAUCUGUGGGGGUUCCUGAGCAUUGGGGUGACAGGAUCUGACUUACAUUUUAUUAGCUGUUUGUGUGUUUAUUUACUUACUUUACAACCCGGGGCUGAUAUAUAUCUCACAACCAGGGGCAUAAAUGUGUUAUGUUUGGCCAGGGCAAAGUUACACUUGGGAGUGAACUCAUGCGUUCAAUAGCAUCCACUUACAUCAUCCAGAGGCAUUUGCAGAGGUCCGUGGGUGGGCCUGACUCAUCCUCCUAGGCUCCCUGACCUGCAUCUGCAGGAAGGGGAAAAGAGCAGACUGCAGGGAAGCCAUCACCCAGGAGAUCUGAGGCCCAGAGGCACAGCCCUCUUUGUUGGCUAUAUUUUUUCUUUCUUUUUUUUUUUUUUUUAAGAUUUUAUUUACUCAUGAGUGACACAGAGAGAGAGAGAGGCAGAGACACAGGUAGAGGGAGUAGCAGGCUCCAUGCAGGGAGCCCGACGUGGGACUCGAUCCCGGGACUCCAGGAUCACGCCCUGGGCCGAAGGCAGGCACUAAACCUCUGAGCCACCCAGGGAUCCCCUCUUUUUCUUUUUUUAAGUAGGCUUCACACCCAGUGUAGAGCCAACAUGGUGCUCAAACGCACAA